Molecule: long non-coding RNA, 2472 nt
Filed under: Salvia miltiorrhiza (redroot sage)
Lineage: Eukaryota; Viridiplantae; Streptophyta; Magnoliopsida; Lamiales; Lamiaceae
Description: long non-coding RNA (SMIL_LNC002447)
Source: RNAcentral
GCAAUUCCAUUCACUUCUUCACACGCCAACAACAAGAGAGAGAGAUCAUUCAAGUUUCUGCUUAAACUUAAGCAAAUCCCCACUGAACUAAAGAAAAAUACAUCAGCCAACCAAGCACAAAAUACACAAGGUAUUUACUAUCUCAGUUUUUAAUUCAUGUUACAUGCUCAUACCCAUCAAACACGUUUCAGUUGUAUAGAAAAAUAGCAAGUUAGAAUAACAGAGGACCUUUAUAUAUGCUAUUGGCUAAGCUUAGCAACAUUAUACUUUACAUCAGGAUAGAACAAAUCAUGGAAUGCUUUAAAGAGGUAGAAUAUUACUAACGGGCAGUUUACUUGCUCGAGAAAAAAACAAUAUGCUUAGAUACUUCACUAUGAUCUGUGUGUGUGGUGAUUCUAUGAGAACUCCCUGCACUAGUCUAACUUAGCAUUAAAAAAAAGGGGAGGUAGAGAGGUUGAACUUAGCUUUAAGAAAGGAGGAGAACGAGUCGGACUCCGGGGAAGGGCAGCUCCAACGAGCCGGCCGCUGUCGGCAGAAGCUACCUGUCGUCCCUCGUCAACUCUGGAACAACAACGACGCCGGCGGAUCCAAGAGAGACCGCGGCCGCCGAGACUCCAGUUGACGACGGCGGCGGUGGCUCUGAGCGAGGCGGGCUGCUGGAGAUCAGACCAGCGACCUCGAUUCCGGGCAAAGCAGCUGCAACUCCGGGCGGCGGCGUUACCUCAGCAGCGGCGACGUCCGGCGAUAGAGCUUCCAGGCGUGUCGGCGGACGGCGGCGGUUGCACCAGAUCUUCGCUGGUCUUCCAGAGGCGGCGGCGUUACCUCAGCAGCGGCGACGUCCGGCGAUAGAGCUUCCAGGCGUGUCGGCGGACGGCGGCGGUUGCACCAGAUCUUCGCUGGUCUUCCAGAGGCGGCGGCGUCGAACCGUGAUGAGAUGAGAGAAGAAGGCAGCGAUUCUUGAGAGGGGCGGGUGGCCGAGGACGGCACCCUCAGCCGGACACGGCCUCGCCGGGGCCGGUCGCGGCGGAGAGAGAGGCCGAGGACGGCCUGGAGCGUGCAGACGCGAGGAGAGAAUUUGAAGAGAAAGAGAGAGAGAAAUGGCUGAGACCAAUUUUGAGAAAUUGGGAGAGAAUCGAGUGGGUGAGGUAGGAGAAGGAAUUAGGAGUUUUAAAAUGUGUGGGCUUGUGUUGGGCCAUCUGAUUUUUUUCCCUUUGGGCCGAAAAUUGGGCCUUCAUUUUAAUUAUGUGGGCUGCAGAUCUAAAUUGAUAAUGGGCUGUAUUUAAUUAGUUUGGGCUAGAGUUAAUUUUUAUUUGGACUGCCAUUAUUAUUUUUGGCUUAAAAUCAGGCCCAAUUUAAGGGUAGUCUAGAUUAAUCUAUUAAUUAAAUUGAGCUAAUUCUAAUUAUUGAUUAAUUUAGAAUGAGGCUAUUAAUUAGUAAGUGAGUUAGAAUACUCUAAGAUGAGCGGAUUAAUUAUUUAUCCACCCUCAUGAGACGAUCCUCAAUUAGUUAAUUUUAUUUAUUUUAAUCUGACAAUUAGGAUUUAUAAUAGAAUCUCCCAUAUUAUUAUCUCAGAAUAAUAAUUAUCGGAAUACGAGUCAUGCAUAGUUAAAUUACGCAUUCUCAUUAAUUGAGGAUUUUAUUCGAGCAAAUAUCUUACUUUAUAUCAUCGCAAUAAAGGUGAACCGCGAGAGUAAUAAUAGCCAGUCAAGGAGCUACUUUACCAAAGCAAAAGUUGCUAUCAGGUGGGCAUUACUUUUACUAUACGUAUAUAGAGAUCCCCUGCGUGUCGUAGGCCUCUUAUACGAAUGAAUGCAUGAGAUGAUUUAACUGUUAAUUUCAGUUUUAUAUAUCUAUCAAACGAGUUUAAUGCUACCUUUGAGCAAGUUAUUUCAUGACAAAAUCUUUGAGUUAAAGUUAUUUCAAGUAUUGUCUUGCCAUAAAAUGUUUAAAUUUUAGUAUGAUAUCUAUCUGCUUUGGCUUUGCCAAUGAUGCAAUCGAAUUCGGGUCCUGAGCAGUUGAUAGCUAUCCUGCCAGGACUAGUGUACACCAGUGACCGUGAGUCAUCUAGCGGGUUGGCCGGUCAAGUGACCGUGAGAGGUGGCCACCUCUCCGGCACAAAGUUUCAGAUAUGAUAGAUUACAAAAGAACUUAGUCUGAUCAGACGAACUUUAAGAAUCACAAAUGAACUUAGUAAGCUUGGGCCUUUUUAGCGAAAAACUCCCUUGCUGUACUGUUUAUGAUGGCAUGACAAUUUACAGUUUUGAAGCAUGUAUUUUUAUACCUAGGCAUACGUGCCCACUGAGUGCUUUUGUACUCAGCCCUGCAUAUGUUUUCUAAAUGUGCAGGUUGAGCUGAUGUGAUGAUGGUGCUGCAAUGAGCGGAGUCUCCAGGGUUGUUAAUAAAUAGUUAACCUGUCUAGAAUAUGUCUUCAUACAUAUGUCUAGCUACUUUCCGCUGCAAGAUGUUGUUGAU